Molecule: ribosomal RNA, 528 nt
Filed under: uncultured bacterium
Lineage: Bacteria
Description: bacterial SSU rRNA
Rfam family: Bacterial small subunit ribosomal RNA
Source: RNAcentral
AAUAGAUACCCGGGUAGUCCACGCCGUAAACGAUGAGUGCUAAGUGUUAGGGGGGUUCCACCCCUUAGUGCUGCAGCUAACGCAUUAAGCACUCCGCCUGGGGAGUACGGUCGCAAGACUGAAACUCAAAGGAAUUGACGGGGGCCCGCACAAGCGGUGGAGCAUGUGGUUUAAUUCGAAGCAACGCGAAGAACCUUACCAGGUCUUGACAUCCCGCUGACCGCCAUGGAGACAUGGCCUUCCCUUCGGGGACAGCGGUGACAGGUGGUGCAUGGUUGUCGUCAGCUCGUGUCGUGAGAUGUUGGGUUAAGUCCCGCAACGAGCGCAACCCUUGUCCUUAGUUGCCAUCAUUCAGUUGGGCACUCUAAGGAGACUGCCGUACAAAUACGGAGGAAGGUGGGGAUGACGUCAAAUCAUCAUGCCCCUUAUGACCUGGGCUACACACGUGCUACAAUGGGUGGUACAAAGGGCGGCGAACCCGCGAGGGGGAGCGAAUCCCAAAAAGCCACUCUCAGUUCGGAUUGCAGG